Molecule: ribosomal RNA, 825 nt
Filed under: uncultured bacterium
Lineage: Bacteria
Description: bacterial SSU rRNA
Rfam family: Bacterial small subunit ribosomal RNA
Source: RNAcentral
UGGCGGCGUGCUUAACACAUGCAAGUCGAACGGAAAGGCCCUGCUUUUGUGGGGUGCUCGAGUGGCGAACGGGUGAGUAACACGUGAGUAACCUGCCCUUGACUUUGGGAUAACUUCAGGAAACUGGGGCUAAUACCGGAUAGGAGCUCCUGCUGCAUGGUGGGGGUUGGAAAGUUUCGGCGGUUGGGGAUGGACUCGCGGCUUAUCAGCUUGUUGGUGGGGUAGUGGCUUACCAAGGCUUUGACGGGUAGCCGGCCUGAGAGGGUGACCGGCCACAUUGGGACUGAGAUACGGCCCAGACUCCUACAGGAGGCAGCAGUGGGGAAUAUUGCACAAUGGGCGGAAGCCUGAUGCAGCAACGCCGNGUGCGGGAUGACGGCCUUCGGGUUGUAAACCNNUUUCGCCUGUGACGAAGCGUGAGUGACGGUAAUGGGUAAAGAAGCACCGGCUAACUACGUGCCAGCAGCCNCGGUGAUACGUAGGGUNCAAGCGUUGUCCGGAUUUAUUGGGCGUAAAGGGCUCGUAGGUGGUUGAUCGCGUCGGAAGUGUAAUCUUGGGGCUUAACCCUGAGCGUGCUUUCGAUACGGGUUGACUUGAGGAAGGUAGGGGAGAAUGGAAUUCCUGGUGGAGCGGUGGAAUGCGCAGAUAUCAGGAGGAACACCAGUGGCGAAGGCGGUUCUCUGGGCCUUUCCUGACGCUGAGGAGCGAAAGCGUGGGGAGCGAACAGGCUUAGAUACCCUGGUAGUCCACGCUGUAAACGGUGGGUACUAGGUGUGGGGUCCAUUCCACGGGUUCCGUGCCGUAGNNAACGCUUUAAGUACCCCG